GUCUAUGUAGUAUAUCACAUUACCCUGGUCUUGUAAACCAGAAAAGGGGAAUAACACUCCCCCACAGACUC
Molecule: transfer RNA, 71 nt
Filed under: Rhinolophus pusillus (least horseshoe bat)
Lineage: Eukaryota; Metazoa; Chordata; Mammalia; Chiroptera; Rhinolophidae
Description: tRNA-Thr
Source: RNAcentral